ACCUGGCUGGCUCAGUCAGUAGGGCAUGAGACUCUUGAUCUCAGGGUUUUGAGUUCAAGUCCCACACUGGGCA
RNAcentral lists this transfer RNA (73 nucleotides) under Canis lupus familiaris (dog). It matches the Rfam family "tRNA". From Rfam's summary of the family: Transfer RNA (tRNA) molecules are approximately 80 nucleotides in length. Their secondary structure includes four short double-helical elements and three loops (D, anti-codon, and T loops). RNAcentral also lists the same sequence under 2 other names. The record is from Rfam by way of RNAcentral. Lineage: Eukaryota; Metazoa; Chordata; Mammalia; Carnivora; Canidae.